Molecule: long non-coding RNA, 798 nt
Organism: Carassius carassius (crucian carp)
Lineage: Eukaryota; Metazoa; Chordata; Actinopteri; Cypriniformes; Cyprinidae
Exons: 2
Source: RefSeq, a predicted model, not a curated record
AGUACGUGUUCAUUAUUAACAUUAAUGUUUUUUUCCCUUUUUUUGUAUUAGAUUUUAAUCAGCAUUGAAUGAUUGUGGAGGGAUGUUUUCGGUGGAGUGUUAAAACUUUUCUACAAUUGCUUCUCCAACCUUGAGAGGGAAGGCCUGCUUAACCCUGAUAAUGAACUUCAUAUGUAUGCACUGCACUGGACAUUUCUUCCACACAUAAACCAACAUCUACAGUCCUUCAAAGAUGGCUGGAAUUACCAUACUUUGCGUACUGAAAGGCACCAAUCACCACAUCAGUUAUGGUGUGAAAAAAUCACAAGGAAGGCCAGGAUUCCCUCCAGUUUGAUUUGGAGCACGGAAUCGACUGGGAGGGUCCAAGUGGUCACCAUGAGGAGGGUGUUGCAGUCCCUGAAGUUAACCUUCCAAGGCAACUGACUGACCUUGAAUUACAAAGACUACCAAAUCCCCAUGGUUCUUUCUCCAGUGUAAUAAAUACAUACAGUGAAACAGUUGACAUAUUGUCCAAUAUAAUGAAUGAUUAAAUGCCAGAAAUAUGCAGUGAGUAAACAACCCAAUGAUUAAAUGAAAUGAACAGAAAGACAAAACAUUGAAAACAUUUGAAUUUUAUUUUGUUUACUUUCAUAAUAAUUUUUAUUGAAACGAAUAGCUAACAACUUUGAAUCUGAAACUGCUAUCAGCCAUCAGAACUACCGACUCAAGAUGAAAUAUCUGUAAACUCUCAAAACUGUUUCAAUUUUAUUUUGUUUACUUUCAUGUAAACUUGUUACAAAUAAACACCAAAACAUGUUA